GGUUGAAGCAUGACCGUAAGGACAUGUGGACAGUAUGGGAGUGAGAAUGUUGGCAUGAGUAGCGAGAUGUGGGUGAGAAUCCCACAGGCCGUAAACCCAAGGUUUCCAGGGGAAGGUUCGUCCGCCCUGGGUUAGUCGGGACCUAAGCUGAGGCCGAAAGGCGUAGGUGAUGGACAACAGGUUGAUAUUCCUGUACUACCGAUAACCGUUUGAGAGAAGGGAUGACACAGUAGGAUAAGCUAAGCACACUGUUGGUUAUGUGUGCCCAAGCAUUGAGGCAGUCAAAGUAGGCAAAUCCGCUUUGAUAAUGCUGGGAUGUGAUGGGGAGCGAAAUUUAGUAGCGAAGUAGCUGAUUUCACACUGUCAAGAAAAGUCUCUAUCGAGGUUAAAGGUACCCGUACCGCAAACCGACACAGGUGGGUGAGGAGAGUAUCCUAAGGCCAGCGAGAGAACUGUUGUUAAGGAACUCGGCAAAAUGACCCCGUAACUUAGGGAUAAGGGGUGCCACCAUCAGGUGGCCGCAGAGAAUAGGCCCAAGCGACUGUUUACCAAAAACAUAGGUUUCUGCUAAGUCGCAAGACGAUGUAUAGGAGCUGACGCCUGCCCGGUGCUGGAAGGUUAAGGGGAUCUGUUAGAGCAAUCGAAGCAGUGAACUUAAGCCCCAGUAAACGGCGGCCGUAACUAUAACGGUCCUAAGGUAGCGAAAUUCCUUGUCGGGUAAGUUCCGACCCGCACGAAAGGCGUAACGAUUUGGGCACUGUCUCAACAACAGACUCGGUGAAAUUGUAAUUCCGGUGAAGAUGCCGGAUACCUGCGACAGGACGGAAAGACCCCAUGGAGCUUUACUGUAGCUUGACAUUGGGUCUUGGUACUACAUGUACAGGAUAGGUGGGAGGCUUUGAAACCAGGACGCCAGUUUUGGCGGAGCCAUCCUUGGGAUACCACCCUUGUAGUACUGGGACUCUAACCAUAGGCCAUGAAUCUGGUCUUGGGACACUGUCAGGUGGGCAGUUUGACUGGGGCGGUCGCCUCCCAAAAGGUAACGGAGGCGCUCAAAGGUUCUCUCAGUACGGUCGGAAAUCGUACGUAGAGUGUAAAGGCAAAAGAGAGCUUGAUUGCAAGACAUACAGGUCGAGCAAGGAUGAAAAUCGGACUUAGUGAUCCGGUGGUUCUGCGUGGAAGGGCCAUCGCUCAACGGAUAAAAGCUACCCUGGGGAUAACAGGCUUAUCUCCCCCAAGAGUCCACAUCGACGGGGAGGUUUGGCACCUCGAUGUCGGCUCAUCACAUCCUGGGGCUGUAGUAGGUCCCAAGGGUUGGGCUGUUCGCCCAUUAAAGUGGUACGCGAGCUGGGUUCAGAACGUCGUGAGACAGUUCGGUCCCUAUCCGUCGCAGGCGUAGGAAAUUUGAGAAGACCUGUCCUUAGUACGAGAGGACCGGGAUGGACGUACCUCUGGUGUACCAGUUGUCCUGCCAAGGGCAUGGCUGGGUAGCUAUGUACGGAAUGGAUAAGCGCUGAAAGCAUCUAAGCGCGAAGCCAACUUCAAGAUAAGAUUUCCCACCGCAAGGGUAAGACCCCAGAAAGACUAUCUGGUUGA
RNAcentral lists this ribosomal RNA (1596 nucleotides) under Clostridioides difficile. Its description in RNAcentral is "bacterial LSU rRNA". It matches the Rfam family "Bacterial large subunit ribosomal RNA", at positions 1248 to 2856 of the family's 2925-position model. Lineage: Bacteria; Bacillati; Bacillota; Clostridia; Peptostreptococcales; Peptostreptococcaceae. The record is from RNAcentral.